UACAGAGGGUGCGAGCGUUAAUCGGAAUUACUGGGCGUAAAGCGCACGUAGGCGGCUUGGUAUGUCGGGUGUGAAAUCCCCGGGCUCAACCUGGGAACUGCAUCCGAAACUGCCUUGCUCGAGUAUGGGAGAGGGGAGUGGAAUUUCCGGUGUAGCGGUGAAAUGCGUAGAUAUCGGAAGGAACAUCAGUGGCGAAGGCGGCAUCCUGGACCAACACUGACGCUGAGGAGCGAAAGCCAGGGGAGCAAACGGG
Molecule: ribosomal RNA, 253 nt
Filed under: uncultured bacterium
Lineage: Bacteria
Description: partial 16S ribosomal RNA
Rfam family: Bacterial small subunit ribosomal RNA
Source: RNAcentral